Molecule: ribosomal RNA, 164 nt
Filed under: Staphylococcus pseudintermedius
Lineage: Bacteria; Bacillati; Bacillota; Bacilli; Caryophanales; Staphylococcaceae
Description: partial 16S ribosomal RNA
Rfam family: Bacterial small subunit ribosomal RNA
Source: RNAcentral
UUUAUGGAGAGUUUGAUCCUGGCUCAGGAUGAACGCUGGCGGCGUGCCUAAUACAUGCAAGUCGAGCGAACAGAUAAGGAGCUUGCUCCUUUGACGUUAGCGGCGGACGGGUGAGUAACACGUGGGUAACCUACCUAUAAGACUGGAAUAACUCCGGGAAACCG